GAUGAACGCUGGCGGCGUGCCUAUUACAUGCAAGUCGAGCGAACAGACGAGGAGCUUGCUCCUCUGACGUUAGCGGCGGACGGGUGAGUAACACGUGGAUAACCUACCUAUAAGACUGGGAUAACUUCGGGAAACCGGAGCUAAUACCGGAUAAUAUAUUGAACCGCAUGGUUCAAUAGUGAAAAACGGUUUUGCUGUCACUUAUAGAUGGAUCCGCGCCGCAUUAGCUAGUUGGUAAGGUAACGGCUUACCAAGGCGACGAUGCGUAGCCGACCUGAGAGGGUGAUCGGCCACACUGGAACUGAGACACGGUCCAGACUCCUACGGGAGGCAGCAGUAGGGAAUCUUCCGCAAUGGGCGAAAGCCUGACGGAGCAACGCCGCGUGAGUGAUGAAGGUCUUCGGAUCGUAAAACUCUGUUAUUAGGGAAGAACAAAUGUGUAAGUAACUAUGCACGUCUUGACGGUACCUAAUCAGAAAGCCACGGCUAACUACGUG
Molecule: ribosomal RNA, 497 nt
Filed under: uncultured bacterium
Lineage: Bacteria
Description: partial 16S ribosomal RNA
Rfam family: Bacterial small subunit ribosomal RNA
Source: RNAcentral